CCUCAGUCUUAACCCUGGUUAAUGCACCUCAGGGCCCCUGGUGUCUGGGGUUGUUGAUGGUGUAUCCACUUCCUGCAGUGUUGGAGGGUGUGGUGGCGACGGUGUGCAAUGGGCGUACAUUGGCGGCUGGUGGGAGGAGCAGGCAGGCCCUGGCAGUAAUACAACCUCUUAAAGCAAGCCUGCCUACGCGCAGGAAGGCCCGAAAUCGGGCGAUGACUUUCAUUUGGGAGUGUAUCUGCAAACAAUGACUCAGGCUCUCUGGAGGAUAGAGCUUUAGUCCCAGACCCGUCAUCAGGAAACGGAGAAAAACAAUCACUAGCUAAAGCAGCCGGGCUUUCGUCCUCCUAGACUGCACUUUCCCUAUCAGCCCAGUUUGGAGACUUUGGCCAAGGAACAGAAGUCCCCAGACAAGUGCUAUCAGCAUACAUGGCACUUUCAAGAGAAUGGCAGUUCAGGUCCCAGCCCCAGCGAGCAUACAAUCCAGUUAUCAACGGAAGGCAACGGAGGAAGCAGAAGGGAAGGGAGUAGAGGUGUCGUUUCCCCCAUGGUAUAAAUAAGCCCUGUUGUUGGCCAGGAGGAUAUCUCAGGGUUGUUGUUGUUUUAAGUCAAGUUUGUAGUUCUCAUGGUAACAGGGAUGAUGUAUUCUGGAAACGGACUGGCAGCAGCAUUCAGAACGAGAAUAGCUGGCUGCCCCUCUCCUGGACCUAGAGCUGUUUUCUCCUACCCGGCUGCUGCCCAUUGCUUCCUGCCACCACACCUUACUCUCUGCAAACCCAGGUCACCACCACCGUGACCCGUCCCAAACCUUACACAAAGCUUGCAUGAAUAUGAUCAUCAACCGUCAUCACCAUCAUCCCGCCUUGCAAGACAGCUCAACAAAGCAACACUUAAAAUGUGGCCAGUAAAUUCAGAAUAAAAUGGUUUGAUUUUCAUUUUA
Hemicordylus capensis (graceful crag lizard) is the source of this 937-nucleotide RNA transcript. It is a transcript of the gene named cocaine- and amphetamine-regulated transcript protein-like, with no coding region annotated. The record is from RefSeq and is a predicted model, not a curated record. NCBI's taxonomy places the organism in Eukaryota, Metazoa, Chordata, Lepidosauria, Squamata, Cordylidae. The transcript is spliced from 3 exons.